Long non-coding RNA from Ricinus communis (castor bean), 452 nucleotides. RefSeq lists it as uncharacterized. The transcript is spliced from 2 exons. NCBI's taxonomy places the organism in Eukaryota, Viridiplantae, Streptophyta, Magnoliopsida, Malpighiales, Euphorbiaceae. The record is from RefSeq and is a predicted model, not a curated record.
CGUGUAACAUUAAAAGGAGACUAUGGAGACUCCGAUGCUGCUGCUAUGGUGAUUCGCAACAAGUAAAAGACAUCUAUUGGCUAUCCAGAUUGGUGGGAUCAGAAUCGAGGAUCACAAAGAAGGAAAGCUAAGAAUUCCCUAAUUUCCGCUGUUGCUGAAACCAAAACAAGUGUGGACAAUAUUGAAUCAACUUCAACAUUAGUAGCAACCACAAGCAAGGAAGGUAAGGUGUUUAAUAUUUCUACAUCUGUUUGUGAUAGUACAUGGAUAAUUGAUUCUAGUGCUUCAAAUCAUAUGACCUUUGAUUCUGGACAGGUUAAGAAACUUAGACCAUCCUUACAAAAAUCUAUUUCGAUAGCAAAUGGUAAUGAGGUUCCAAUUAUUGGAGAGGGAUCUAUUACUGCCACCAAUUUUUUAAAUUUAGACUCAGUUUUAAUUGUUCCAUCAUUAAA